GUCUAUAGCCAUACCACCCUGAACACGCCUGAUCUCGGAACCUAAGCAGGGUCAGGCCUGGUUAGUACUUGGAUGGGAGAAAGAAGGAAAUAAGACUGUUUUGGGCU
Ribosomal RNA from Erinaceus europaeus (western European hedgehog), 107 nucleotides. The record is from Ensembl. NCBI's taxonomy places the organism in Eukaryota, Metazoa, Chordata, Mammalia, Eulipotyphla, Erinaceidae.